This is a small nuclear RNA of Choloepus hoffmanni (Hoffmann's two-fingered sloth), 107 nucleotides long. NCBI's taxonomy places the organism in Eukaryota, Metazoa, Chordata, Mammalia, Pilosa, Megalonychidae. The record is from Ensembl.
AUACUAGCUUUGGCAGCAUCUAUACUAAAAUUGGAGCCAUACAGAGAAGAUCAGUAUGACCCCUGCACAAGGAUGACUUGCAAAUUUGUGAAGCGAUCCAUAUUUUU